UACGUAGGCAGCAAGCGUUGUUCGGAAUUACUGGGCGUAAAGAGUGUGUAGGCGGUGCUCUAAGUUCGGUGUGAAAUCUCCCGGCUCAACUGGGAGGGUGCGCCGGAAACUGGAGUGCUCGAGCGUGGGAGAGGAAAGCGGAAUUCCUGGUGUAGCGGUGAAAUGCGUAGAUAUCAGGAGGAACACCUGCGGUGUAGACGGCUUUCUGGACCAUUGCUGACGCUGAGACACGAAAGCGUGGGUAGCAAACAGG
Molecule: ribosomal RNA, 253 nt
Filed under: uncultured bacterium
Lineage: Bacteria
Description: partial 16S ribosomal RNA
Rfam family: Bacterial small subunit ribosomal RNA
Source: RNAcentral